GGGCAGCACAAAGAUAGUUUACUAUUUUGGUGGCGACCGGCGCACGGGUGAGUAACGCGUAUGCAACCUACCUUAUACAGGAGUAUAGCCCGAAGAAAUUCGGAUUAAUCCUCCAUAGUAUUUUCUAAUGGCAUCAUUUGGAAAAUUAAAGCUUCGGCGGUAUAAGAUGGGCAUGCGUCCUAUUAGCUAGAUGGUAAGGUAAUGGCUUACCAUGGCAACGAUAGGUAGGGGGCCUGAGAGGGUGAUCCCCCACACUGGUACUGAGACACGGACCAGACUCCUACGGGAGGCAGCAGUGAGGAAUAUUGGGCAAUGGAGGCAACUCUGACCCAGCCAUGCCGCGUGCAGGAAGAAUGCCCUAUGGGUUGUAAACUGCUUUUAUUUAGGAAUAAACCCCUCUACGUGUAGAGGGCUGAAUGUACUAAACGAAUAAGCACCGGCUAACUCCGUGCCAGCAGCCGCGGUAAUACGGAGGGUGCAAGCGUUAUCCGGAAUCAUUGGGUUUAAAGGGUCCGCAGGCGGAUGUAUAAGUCAGUGGUGAAACCCUGCAGCUUAACUGCAGAACUGCCAUUGAUACUGUACAUCUUGAAUUCGGUCGAAGUGGGCGGAAUGUGUAGUGUAGCGGUGAAAUGCAUAGAUAUUACACAGAACACCGAUAGCGAAGGCAGCUCACUAGGCCUGGAUUGACGCUCAGGGACGAAAGCGUGGGGAUCAAACAGGAUUAGAUACCCUGGUAGUCCACGCUGUAAACGAUGAUUACUCGUUUUCGGCGAUAUACAGUCGGAGACUAAGCGAAAGUGAUAAGUAAUCCACCUGGGGAGUACGAUCGCAAGGUUGAAACUCAAAGGAAUUGACGGGGGCCCGCACAAGCGGUGGAGCAUGUGGUUUAAUUCGAUGAUACGCGAGGAACCUUACCAGGGCUUAAAUGCAGAGCGAAUAGUUUGGAAACAGACUAGCCUUCGGGCGAUCUGCAAGGUGCUGCAUGGCUGUCGUCAGCUCGUGCC
RNAcentral lists this ribosomal RNA (1004 nucleotides) under uncultured marine bacterium. RNAcentral's name for it is "bacterial SSU rRNA". It matches the Rfam family "Bacterial small subunit ribosomal RNA", at positions 67 to 1066 of the family's 1533-position model. The record is from RNAcentral.